RNAcentral lists this ribosomal RNA (469 nucleotides) under uncultured organism. RNAcentral describes it as "partial 16S ribosomal RNA". It matches the Rfam family "Bacterial small subunit ribosomal RNA", at positions 335 to 796 of the family's 1533-position model. The record is from RNAcentral.
ACUCCUGCGGGAGGCAGCAGUGGGGAAUAUUGCACAAUGGGCGCAAGCCUGAUGCAGCCAUGCCGCGUGUAUGAAGAAGGCCUUCGGGUUGUAAAGUACUUUCAGCGGGGAGGAAGGCAAUACGGUUAAUAACCGUGUUGAUUGACGUUACCCACAGAAGAAGCACCGGCUAACUCCGUGCCAGCAGCCGCGGUAAUACGGAGGGUGCAAGCGUUAAUCGGAAUUACUGGGCGUAAAGCGCACGCAGGCGGUCUGUCAAGUCGGAUGUGAAAUCCCCGGGCUCAACCUGGGAACUGCAUUCGAAACUGGCAGGCUUGAGUCUUGUAGAGGGGGGUAGAAUUCCAGGUGUAGCGGUGAAAUGCGUAGAGAUCUGGAGGAAUACCGGUGGCGAAGGCGGCCCCCUGGACAAAGACUGACGCUCAGGUGCGAAAGCGUGGGGAGCAAACAGGAUUAGAAACCCCAGUAGUCC